CGGUUGCUGCGCGGCGCGCGAGGUCGCGAAUGUCUCGGGGGCUAUACGUUGUCUAACGGGAGCUGUCCCUGUCGGGGCCCUGGCCUCGGUAUAUGGCGCCCACCUGGUUAUCCAGGUCCCUUGGACAUACAAGACUAACGCCCGAUGUGGCGCCGCA
This 157-nucleotide non-coding RNA is filed under the name Alphaproteobacteria bacterium. Its description in RNAcentral is "6S RNA". It matches the Rfam family "6S / SsrS RNA". Rfam says of the family: E. coli 6S RNA was the first non coding RNA to be sequenced, but its function was unknown until recently. The record is from RNAcentral. Lineage: Bacteria; Pseudomonadati; Pseudomonadota; Alphaproteobacteria.